AGCAGCCGCGGUAAUUCCAGCUCCAAUAGCGUAUAUUAAAGUUGUUGCAGUUAAAAAGCUCGUAGUUGAAUUUCGGAGUUUGUCGGUUGGUCGGGCUUCACUGUCCGCACUGGCCUGAUGGAUUCCUACCUUCUGAAUAACCAGCAUGCUAUUAAGUUAGUGCGUUGGGGAAGCAGAGCUAUUACCUUGAAAAAAUUAGAGUGCUUAAAGCAGGCUUAUGCUUGAAUAGAUUAGCAUGGAAUAAUAAAAUAGGACGGCAUGGUUCUAUUUUGUUGGUUUCUAGGAUCACCGUAAUGAUUAAUAGGGAUAGUUGGGGGCAUUAGUAUUCAAUUGUCAGAGGUGAAAUUCUUGGAUUUAUUGAAGACUAACUUCUGCGAAAGCAUUUGCCAAGGAUGUUUUCAUUAAUCAAGAACGAAAGUUAGGGGAUCGAAGACGAUCAGAUACCCUCGUAGUCUUAACCAUAAACUAUGCCGACUAGGGAUCGGACGAUGUUAAUUUUUAAUGACUCGUUC
Molecule: ribosomal RNA, 512 nt
Filed under: uncultured Acaulospora
Lineage: Eukaryota; Fungi; Glomeromycota; Glomeromycetes; Diversisporales; Acaulosporaceae
Description: SSU rRNA
Rfam family: Eukaryotic small subunit ribosomal RNA
Source: RNAcentral